CAUGCCGUAAACGAUGAUUACUAGGUGUGGGUGGUCUGACCCCAUCCGUGCCGGAGUUAACACAAUAAGUAAUCCACCUGGGGAGUACGGCCGCAAGGUUGAAACUCAAAGGAAUUGACGGGGGCCCGCACAAGCAGUGGAGUAUGUGGUUUAAUUCGAAGCAACGCGAAGAACCUUACCAGGUCUUGACAUCCAACUAACGAAGCAGAGAUGCAUCAGGUGCCCUUCGGGGAAAGUUGAGACAGGUGG
This 249-nucleotide ribosomal RNA is filed under the name uncultured bacterium. RNAcentral's name for it is "partial 16S ribosomal RNA". It matches the Rfam family "Bacterial small subunit ribosomal RNA", at positions 796 to 1041 of the family's 1533-position model. The record is from RNAcentral.